CAUCUUUGUAGGCCCUAUGAUCUGCUCUCGUCUGUCUCCUCGUGUGGAAAAACGUUUCUCCCAGCUGCUGUUCCCCGUGACGACGCGGACGCUGAUUUAAGGCUGCGGAACUUCUUCCAGGCGGUGGGAACCAUCGUGUAGGAACCGUGUUUCUGUCGAUAAGCUAGCGGGACACCGUACGCACUCCCCCUCUACAAGUCCCCAUUCGCACGGUCUCUUCGUCCGGUGUUGACGACGCAGAUCCCGGGAACAAAGGAACCGUGAGGCCGACGCACACCUGUCAGCUCAGCCCGGAGAAGAACCACGUUUAUGCCAGUUUUUAAAAUUACUCUCAUCCGCAGGUCGUAUAGUUGCGGUAGUUUGACGGUGAGAAAUAUUCGCUGCGAACAAAACAAACCCCGCUGGCCUGACUCAUUCAGACCCGUUAGCAGCAUCGGCUAAGGCUAGCCGCGAGCUAACUGCUAACGUUAGCACAGCGUUGUUUUGGUAGCGAGAAGUUUUUUGUUUGUGGACGAAAAAUGGCGGAAGUCUACAUUCGCGUUGCGGAGGAGGAGAAUGAGGAGCCCAUGGAGAUCCCGUCCGAGGACGACGGCACCGUGCUGCUCUCCACCGUGGCGGCGCAGUUCCCCGGGGCGUGCGGCCUGCGGUUCCGGAGCCCCGUGUCCCAGUGCAUGCGGGGGGUGCGCCUGGUGGAGGGGAUCCUGCACGCUCCGGAGAACGGAUGGGGCAACGUCGUGUACGUGGUCAACUAUCCCAAAGACAACAAAAGAAAGAUGGAGGAAAUAGAUGCCUCCUCUGCUGUGAAAAUGAAGCGAGGCGAUAUGAAGACGUCUGACCUGAUUGUUCUGGGUUUACCUUGGAAAACAUCCGAGCAGGACCUGAAAGACUACUUCAGUACGUUUGGGGAAGUCAUCAUGGUUCAGGUAAAACGAGAUGCCAAGACAGGAAACUCUAAAGGAUUCGGCUUUGUGAGGUUCACAGAGUACGAGUCUCAGGAGAAGGUGAUCUCCCAGCGCCACAUGAUCGACGGCAGAUGGUGCGACUGCAAGCUUCCUAACUCGAAGGUAGAUCUGGGUCCGGAUGAGCCACUGAGGAGUCGCAAAGUUUUUGUAGGCCGUUGCACAGAAGAUAUGACCACAGACGACCUGCGGCAGUUCUUCAUGCAGUACGGAGAAGUGACAGAUGUCUUCAUUCCCAAGCCAUUCCGUGCUUUUGCUUUUGUGACAUUUGCAGAUGAUCAGGUUGCCCAGUCUCUCUGUGGAGAGGACCUAAUAAUUAAAGGUGUCAGUGUUCACAUCUCAAACGCUGAGCCCAAACACGGCAAUCGGCAGUUUGACCGCACAACACGGUUUGGUAAUGGUUUCGGAGCACAGGCAUUCGGUAGCAGCGGCCGCAGUGGGUUAGGGAGCAGCACUAACAGUAGUCUGGCUAAUUUUGGUUCUUUCAGCCUGAACCCAGCCAUGAUGGCGGCCGCUCAGGCUGCUCUACAGAGUAGUUGGGGGAUGAUGGGUAUGCUAGCUAGCCAGCAGCAGACGUCCACCUCAGGCAGCACCUCAGGCAGUGGGACCAGCUCUAGCAGGGACCAGAGUCAGUCUUUCAGUACAGGAGGAGGAGGCAACAGCAACUAUGGCACCAGCUCGGCCAGUCUUGGGUGGGGAACAGGGUCAAACUCGACAACCAGUGGUAGUGGCUUUAGCUCAGGUUUUGGGUCCAGUAUGGAGUCAAAGUCAUCUGGGUGGGGGAUGUAAGUUAAGUGUUUGUAUGGUAAGUAUUGUGAGAAAGAUGAGUCUUUUCAACAAAAAAAGUUUUUUUCUGGUGUUAAAGCGUAUCUGAAAACUUAACACUUUUGUGGAAGAUGUUUUGUACAUUUGGAAAAAUGCUAAAGAUUUAAUUUAGAAAGUGUUGAAGUGAAUUGUUUACCAGGAUGUCCGACUAAAGUGCUAUUUUUGAUGUCUUGUUUGUAUCCAUUUCAACUGGAUUCUCUAAUGCAUGCAUUGUGAAAUGUGAUUAUACCCAUUUUGAAAAUGCAUGAAUGUCUCUGAUACACCAUUAUCAGGCUUCGUCACCAACUUUAAAAAGGCAAUCUUGCAUUGGGAAGAAUCUGGUUGAAACCUAUAUGUUUUUUUAAGUGCAACUUUAUUUGCAGUCAAGUUCUAUGGAAAAGCCUUCAUUGAAAUCUCUUCUGCAGUUCACCUCUCUUCCAUUUUCCUGUGAGGAAGCUCCUCUUUGGGGUGAUAUCGGUAUCAUUCUCCCUCUUCCCACCUGUAAAUGCUAUGCCAUCAAAGAACGGCUUCACUCCGCAUGUUCUGAGAGACGGGACCUUGGGCUCUGCUGGUCGAGGUCUCCGUUUGAACCCUGACUGAAGUCUGUUCUGAAGGAUGAAGACGGAAGUUCCAACACUUUCAGUGUGUGGCCUUCUCAAACAUGACAUGGGGUAGUACCUGUCUUUUUGCUGAUUUCACUGGCUUGUCAGAUUGAACCUUUCUUAUUCAGUUGCAUUGCAGGUAAGACGGAAGUUCUUUAGAUAGCCUUGAGCAUUCUGGGUAGUUUGCCUGACGAUCUUAACAGUGUCAUGGAUUCCAAGUGUAAAACGGCAUGAAAAUGACAGUAACACGGAGAAAUAUGCUAGAUUGGUCAGUAAGCACUUUACACCAUUUUAAAUAAAAGACAAUGAAGUCCUCAUUUUAUUACAAGUGUUAUUUUAUUGUUGUGACAGAACAGUGCAAAAUGAAGGACAACUCGACAUGACAUUGUGUUAGGUCCCUGAACAGUGUUAGAAAAGAUAGUUUAAUGUACAGUGACAUUGGAGAACUGCUGUAGCUGAUUCUAGCACUUUAGUUGACGCUUAACUUUCUGUGAUGUACUAGUCAGCCUUUAUGUAUAUUUGAAUGUUGGACACACAAGUGAGAUGCUGCAGGCCUGCAUGUGUCCUGUCCUUAUUCUCUGCUUUCCUCCUCCGUGUCUCUGCUCUUCCUCUUCCCAGUAUUCUUCUUUUUUAAUUCCCUCUGCUGGUUCAGUUCUUCGCUUUUAUUUUGUAUGUAGAUCGACUGAAAUGAAUAAAGGCAAAUUAAACAUUGA
Molecule: RNA transcript, 3078 nt
Organism: Limanda limanda (common dab)
Lineage: Eukaryota; Metazoa; Chordata; Actinopteri; Pleuronectiformes; Pleuronectidae
Gene: tardbpb
Gene name: TAR DNA binding protein b
Exons: 6
Source: RefSeq, a predicted model, not a curated record